Harpia harpyja (harpy eagle) is the source of this 1122-nucleotide long non-coding RNA. RefSeq lists it as uncharacterized. Lineage: Eukaryota; Metazoa; Chordata; Aves; Accipitriformes; Accipitridae. The record is from RefSeq and is a predicted model, not a curated record. The transcript is spliced from 3 exons.
CGGCACAGCCCUGCCCGGAGGCAGCACCAGGCUGAGCCUGCCUCCCCGCGUGUGACCGGGUGUUACUGGAGCAACAUCCCCGCGGGAGGGAAGGAAGGAGGAAGCUGGGCUGUAAAGAAAUAAAACCACUGCAGAGCCGACUGCGAGAGAAGAGAGAGGAAGAGACAGGCUGGCUGGAAAGGACAGCUUUGCUGCGCCCAGGAGAAAAUGGUCUGAGUAAUUAUCAAUGCCUGCCGCUAUGUGGCCAGGAAGAUGGGGACCCUGUGCCACCGGGAGCGCCAGGAGCCACCACCCUGCCCACUGCAGGCAGCCCCCCACCGCCACCACCAAAAUGUAAAGGCAGAGGUAUCAGCAGCCCCCCAAGCACGAGCCUCGCUUCCCAGGAACAGCAACCCCAUCCAAGACCAGCCCUGCAGGUCCUGAGGGUAAAAGCGCUCGUGGUCCUGCCCUGAAGGCCACGAGCUUUCCUCCCACCAGAUUUCCCAGAGAAUGCGUUUGCUGGGAAUCCUGCAGCCCAGGGAUUGGAAAAUAUCAGCAAAUCCCUCCUGUAUCUGCUCUCAACACAGAAGCACAACGACAGAAAAUGUCCUGAUCAGUCUCUCUUUACCAGAAUUUUCCAGCUGGCAGAAAAAAAAGAUUGUCAAUGUAUAUCAGAUGCUCCCAGCACUUUUGGGCUGUGGAGCACCAGGGGAAGAGCAUGAGCCAUUGCAUCCUAGCAGCAAAUCAGAUUUUUAUACUGUGAAACCAAAUUGUGCCCCUAAUGAUAUUGGUAUACACUCAGACAAUUUCCAUGAAGGUAAAAUCAGCUCCUGAGCUGGAGUAAGGAGUCUUAGAGCUUAGGUCUGUGGAAAUCCCAUGAUGUUUUGUACGACCCCCUUCCCCAUGCCCAGUAAGCUGGUUAAGCUGUCCUUACUGGGCAGCCAGCACCCCGGUGUGAUGCACAGCACCCACAGAGCAGAGGGCUGCAGGGACCACAGUCGGAUCCCCCCUCUAGCAAACCCUGCACCGUCACAGAGAGCAAUGACAGCAGAAUCGCAAACUCCGCAUGUGCGGGGAGGAAUCUGCCUGACCCCUUCCUGUGACAGCCCAAGCUGAACCAGAAAUAAAGACAGAUGAAAAGAG